AGUGAACGCUGGCGGUAGGCCUAACACAUGCAAGUCGAACGGCAGCACAGUAAGAGCUUGCUCUUACGGGUGGCGAGUGGCGGACGGGUGAGGAAUACAUCGGAAUCUACUUUUUCGUGGGGGAUCACGUAGGGAAACUUACGCUAAUACCGCAUACGACCUACGGGUGAAAGCAGGGGAUCUUCGGACCUUGCGCGAUUGAAUGAGCCGAUGUCGGAGUAGCUAGUUGGCGGGGUAAAGGCCCACCAAGGCGACGAUCCGUAGCUGGUCUGAGAGGAUGGUCAGCCACACUGGAACUGAGACACGGUCCAGACUCCUACGGGAGGCAGCAGUGGGGAAUAUUGGACAGUGGGCGCAAGCCUGAUCCAGCCAUACCGCGUGGGUGAAGAAGGCCUUCGGGUUGUAAAGCCCUUUUGUUGGGAAAGAAAAGCAGCAGGUUAAUACCCCGCUGUUCUGACGGUACCCAAAGAAUAAGCACCGGCUAACUUCGUG
Molecule: ribosomal RNA, 492 nt
Filed under: uncultured bacterium
Lineage: Bacteria
Description: partial 16S ribosomal RNA
Rfam family: Bacterial small subunit ribosomal RNA
Source: RNAcentral